AUACGUAGGGGGCAAGCGUUGUCCGGAAUUACUGGGUGUAAAGGGAGCGCAGGUGGGAUGGAAAGUUGGAUGUUUAAUCUACGGGCUCAACCCGUAUCAGCAUUCAAAACUAUCAUUCUUGAGUGGAGUAGAGGCAGGCGGAAUUCCAGGUGUAGCGGUGGGAUGCGUAGAUAUCUGGAGGAACACCAGUGGCGAAGGCGGCCUGCAGGGCUCUAACUGACACUGAGGCUCGAAAGCGUGGGUAGC
RNAcentral lists this ribosomal RNA (246 nucleotides) under uncultured bacterium. Its description in RNAcentral is "partial 16S ribosomal RNA". It matches the Rfam family "Bacterial small subunit ribosomal RNA", at positions 523 to 769 of the family's 1533-position model. The record is from RNAcentral.